RNAcentral lists this long non-coding RNA (228 nucleotides) under Brassica napus (rape). RNAcentral's name for it is "long non-coding RNA (BNAP_LNC003501)". The record is from RNAcentral. Lineage: Eukaryota; Viridiplantae; Streptophyta; Magnoliopsida; Brassicales; Brassicaceae.
ACUAGAACAAGAAAGUCUUACACUAAUCUUUUCUAUUACAAGAAUCCUUUAGGAUUACCCCAAUUCUAAGUUAAAACUCACCCUAGAACCUAGACUUUUGUUUAUCAGGAUCCUCCAAACCCCGAGCUAAACUCUCCCUGAAUCUAGACUUCAAUCUUCCAACUCCUCGGAAGUACUUCACCAACUACGUCAGCACCUAACGCAGAGCAGUGACACCAAAGGCUUGAU